Sinocyclocheilus grahami is the source of this 195-nucleotide long non-coding RNA. RefSeq lists it as uncharacterized. The record is from RefSeq and is a predicted model, not a curated record. The transcript is spliced from 3 exons. Lineage: Eukaryota; Metazoa; Chordata; Actinopteri; Cypriniformes; Cyprinidae.
UUGUCCGCUGCUCUUCUUCUACUUCUGUCUUUAUUCAGCUGUGGAAGCGCUAUACAGUUUCCCGACUCCCAUCUGACCCAGAAAUGGGCGAUGCAGAUGCAGGAGGAGCUAGUGCAGUUGAUGGAUGCUGAGACCGGCAUACAAAAGCUUCAAAAAAUUUUCCUGCAAUUUCAUAGACACUAUGAUGUCAAGCAA